UGAAGAAUAACGUUUAGAACCCGUGUCACUUACAACAUUUUAUAUUGUCGGUGAGAAGUAAAAGGGGAUAAAGUGGAUUUAUGUUUGUGUGAUGACUGUAGCCAUGUGAACGGGUUAUCGUACGGCAAAACCCAUCACGUAAAGAAGAGUCUUCAACUUUUCAAGAAAGCCUUGUUUUGCUAUCAACACAAAGCUCGGAACAGGAAGUGAUACAUUGUAUGCUGAUUACCUGUGCAGGAGGAAAAUGAAACCAGACAGAUUAUGGACUCAAAUUCAACCCGUAAAAAAGCUAGGAACUUGCAGUCACUGAGUGUUCUUGUUUACAGUCAUGUGUUUAAUGCUGCCACAACAUAAAUAUUAUAGCUGGCUCUGGACUCGACCAUAUGCAUCUUAAACUGAUCUUUGAACGCGAUUGUCUCAAGAACAUUUUUAUAAUAAAUAACUUUGACGGUCAGCCCAGGGUCACCAAUGCCAAGCGUCUUUUGGAGACACUUAUUCCAACCUGUCAAAGUUCUUCAAAGAACUACCAUGACAAUCGUGUAUUUGUUUUGUUUGUCAUAAUAAGUUUAAUGUUUAAUAUCACUAGUAUCACUAGUCAUUGAUACAUUGAUAAAUCUAUUUUCCUUUAAACGUGUUUGAUUGAAUGAUUAUAUGUGCCUUGUUACUUAAUUAUUAAUGUUCUUAUUUCCCUGUAACAUUUUCAAGUCUUAUUCAUAGAAGAACGCAUUUCACAUGCAAUUUCAAACAAGGUUAGCAAAUCUUACUGCACUGAGUAGGUUUCGUCUCACACAUGAUAUAUGAGAUGCUUUUCCUCUUUUUUAUGCCCCCCUUCGAAGAAGAGGGGGUAUAUUGCUUUGCUCAUGUCGGUCUGUCGGUCAGUCUGUCGGUCGGUCCGUCCACCAGGUGGUUGUCAGACGAUAACUCAAGAACGCUUGGGUCUAGGAUCAUGAAACUUCAUAGGUACAUUGAUCAUGACUCGCAGAUGACCCCUAUUGAUUUUGAGGUCACUAGGUCAAAGGUCACGGUGACCAGAAAUAGUUAAAUGGUUUUUGAAUGAUAACUCAAGAACGCAUACACCUAGGAUCAUGAAACUUCAUGGGUAGAUUGAUCAUGACUUGCAGAUGACCCCUAUUGAUUUUGAGGUCACUAGGUCAAAGGUCAAGGUCACGGUGACCCGAAAUAGUAAAAUGGUUUUCGGAUGAUAACUCAAGAACGCAUACGCCUAGGAUCAUGAAACUUCAUAGGUAGAUUGAUCAUGACUUGCAGAUAACCCCUUUUGAGGUCACAAGGUCAAAGGUCAAGGUCAUGGUGACCCGAAAUAGUAAAAUGAUUUUCGGAUGAUUACUCAAGAACGCUUUUGCGUAGGAUCAUGACACUUCAUAGGUACAUUGAUCGUGACCCGCAGAUGACCCCUAUUGAUUUUCAGUUCACUAGGUCAAAGGUCAAGGUCACAGUGACAAAAAUCGUAUUCACACAAUGGCUGCCACUACAACGGACAGCCCAUAUGGGGGGCAUGCAUGUUUUACAAACAGCCCUUGUUUUAUCUUUUUAUAAUAAUUUUUGAACAUUUAGCUCAUCUUAAUGCUCACAUAUAAAAAUCUCAAAUUCAGUAUGGCGUUUCUGGAAAAGGGGGGUAGCCUUGAUUGUAAAGCCGGAACUUUUCGUUUUCACUGGUGACCCCCAUUUUUAGCUUAUUAUUAUAAAACAAUGUCUUUGCCAUCAACUACAAGUUUCUGUAUAGUUUUGUUUUCGUUUGUAAGUUUUUCAUUGUUUGCAAAGUAUUUUGUAUUGUUUUCAUUGUGUUCAACAUGCUGUGCCCGUGCACGAAGUAUUAUGCCAUCAAAUUGUAGUUUUCAACUAUGUUAUUCAAAAUGUUCCUAUUUUUGG
Long non-coding RNA from Dreissena polymorpha, 1887 nucleotides. RefSeq lists it as uncharacterized. Lineage: Eukaryota; Metazoa; Mollusca; Bivalvia; Myida; Dreissenidae. The transcript is spliced from 4 exons. The record is from RefSeq and is a predicted model, not a curated record.